UACGGGGGGAGCAAGCGUUGUUCGGAUUUACUGGGCGUAAAGGGCGCGUAGGCGGUCGUGACAAGUCACUUGUGAAAUCUCCGGGCUUAACUCGGAACGGUCAAGUGAUACUGUCGGACUAGAGUACAGAAGGGGCAACUGGAAUUCUCGGUGUAGCGGUGAAAUGCGUAGAUAUCUGGAGGAACACCGGUGGCGAAGGCGGCAUCCUGGACCGAUACUGACGCUGAGGAGCGAAAGCCAGGGGAGCAAACGGG
Molecule: ribosomal RNA, 254 nt
Filed under: uncultured bacterium
Lineage: Bacteria
Description: partial 16S ribosomal RNA
Rfam family: Bacterial small subunit ribosomal RNA
Source: RNAcentral